CAUAGUAUAGCGGUUAACACAUCUGCUUUACACGCAGAAGUUCCUGGGUUUGCACCCUAGUG
Molecule: transfer RNA, 62 nt
Filed under: Pteropus alecto (black flying fox)
Lineage: Eukaryota; Metazoa; Chordata; Mammalia; Chiroptera; Pteropodidae
Rfam family: tRNA
About the family: Transfer RNA (tRNA) molecules are approximately 80 nucleotides in length. Their secondary structure includes four short double-helical elements and three loops (D, anti-codon, and T loops).
Source: Rfam by way of RNAcentral